This 887-nucleotide long non-coding RNA is filed under the name Equus caballus (horse). RNAcentral's name for it is "lncRNA (ENSECAG00000040379.3)". The record is from RNAcentral. Lineage: Eukaryota; Metazoa; Chordata; Mammalia; Perissodactyla; Equidae.
GAAUCAUGGAACCUAGGAACCAAGGAGCCUAGGAAUCAAGGAACCAAGGAAUCUAGGAACCAAGGAAUCUAGGAACCUAGGAACCACUGAAACUAGGAAGCAAGGAAUCUAAGAACCACAGAACCUAGGAACCACGGAACCUAAGAACGAAGGAACCAUGGAACCACAGAACCUAGGAACCAUGGAACCUAGAAAACAUGGAACCUAGGAACCAUGGAACCUAGAAAACACGGAACCUAGGAACCAAGGAACCGUGGAACCACCGAACGUAGGAAUCACAGAACCAGGUAACAGCAGAGCUGGGGGGAGCAAGGAAGGCAACGAGGGGCUAUCUAAGAGGGAGAAGCUGCAGGAUUUGAGUUCUCUUAGCGAAACUGUGAACCCCUGGGGGCAGGCUUGGGAUUAACUAGGGAGAUUUGAGGAAAACAAUCAACUCGAUGAAGAGGAAGGAGGAAGAGAAGCUGAACACCUAGGAAAAAACAGAGAAACAAAAACCAGCCUCUUAGUACUUCCUGUUGACGUUGGUGGGGGCCAGCCCAGCUUCCCACAUGAUCGCAUCUUCUUGUAACUCUCUUAUUGUACAACUUGAGACACCGAGAUCCUCAGCUAGCCAGAGUCCAUCCUUCGUUGUUUGUAACUCUGUUCGCCGUGAUCUUAAACAGCGAGGUGCUAGCAACUGAUUAAAGGAGUGAAAGGAAACCCUGCUAAUUACGUUGAAACCUUGGCGUCGGUUUCUCUGGCCGGACUGGAUGACAAUCCACACACCUGCAGAGUUUUACAAGCAGGAUCUCACUCGGGCAGUCGACUCCUGUAAUGAAACUGGCAAAAAGCGCACAAAGUUGUUUUCCCUUAAAGAUAGAGAUACCGUGGCAGGGUUUUCAGAUGUG